This 67-nucleotide transfer RNA is filed under the name Apis nuluensis. Its description in RNAcentral is "tRNA-Ala". The record is from RNAcentral. Lineage: Eukaryota; Metazoa; Arthropoda; Insecta; Hymenoptera; Apidae.
UGGAUAUUAGUUAAUAAAUAACAUUUAAAUUGCAUUUAAAAAUUAAUAUAAUUUAUAUUAUAUCUAA